RNAcentral lists this ribosomal RNA (434 nucleotides) under uncultured archaeon. Its description in RNAcentral is "bacterial SSU rRNA". It matches the Rfam family "Archaeal small subunit ribosomal RNA", at positions 19 to 458 of the family's 1478-position model. The record is from RNAcentral.
GGACCUGACUGCUAUCGGAUUGAUACUAAGCCACGCGAGUCUUUGUAGUAAUACAAGGCAUACGGCUCAGUAACGCGUAGUCAACCUACCCUAUGGACAAGAAUAAUCUCGGGAAACUGAGCAUAAUUCUUGAUAGAUCAUAAUGCCUGGAAUGGUUUAUGGUUAAAAUGAUUCGUCGCCAUAGGAUGGGACUGCGGCCUAUCAGCUUGUUGGUGAGGUAAUGGCCCACCAAGGCGAUUACAGGUACGGGCUCUGAGAGGAGAAGCCCGGAGAUGGGUACUGAGACACGGACCCAGGCCCUAUGGGGCGCAGCAGGCGAGAAAACUUUGCAAUGUGCGAAAGCACGACAAGGUUAAUCCGAGUGGUUUCUGCUAAAGAAACCUUUUGUCAGUCCUAGAAACACUGAUGAAUAAGGGGUGGGCGAGUUCUGGUGU